Molecule: ribosomal RNA, 515 nt
Filed under: uncultured bacterium
Lineage: Bacteria
Description: bacterial SSU rRNA
Rfam family: Bacterial small subunit ribosomal RNA
Source: RNAcentral
CAGCGACACCGCGUGUGGGAUGACGGAUCUAGGUUUGUAAACCACUUUCAGGAGGGAAGAAAAUGACGGUACCUCCACAAGAAGCCCCGGCCAACUACGUGCCAGCAGCCGCGGUAAUACGUAGGGGGCGAGCGUUGUCCGGAUUUAUUGGGCGUAAAGAGCUCGUAGGCGGUUCAACAAGUCGGUCGUAAAAGUUCAGGGCUCAACCCUGAAAUGUCGAUCGAUACUGUUGUGACUAGGAUACGGUAGAGGUGAGUGGAAUUCCGAGUGUAGCGGUGAAAUGCGUAGAUAUUCGGAGGAACACCAAUUGCGAAGGCAGCUCACUGGGCCGCUAUCGACGCUGAGGAGCGAAAGCUAGGGGAGCAAACAGGAUUAGAUACCCUGGUAGUCCUAGCUGUAAACGAUGGAUACUAGACGUAGGAACUGGAUUGACGGUUUCUGUGUCGUAGCUAACGCGUUAAGUAUCCCGCCUGGGGAGUACGGUCGCAAGACUAAAACUCAAAUGAAUUGACGGG